CCUACGGGUGGCAGCAGUGAGGAAUAUUGGUCAAUGGACGAGAGUCUGAACCAGCCAAGUAGCGUGAAGGAUGACUGCCCUAUGGGUUGUAAACUUCUUUUAUAAAGGAAUAAAACGAGGCACGUGUGCCUUUAUGCAUGGACUUUAUGAAUAAGGAUCGGCUCACUCCGUGCCAGGAGCCGCGGUAAUACGGAGGAUCCGCGCGUUAUCCGGGUUUAUUGGGGUUAAAGGGAGCGUAGAUGGGUUGUUAAGGCCGUUGUUCAAGUUUGCGGCUCAACCGUAAAAUUGCAAUUGAUACUGGCAGUCUUGAGUACAGUUGAGGUAGGCGGAAUGCGUGGUGUAGCGGUGAAAUGCUUAGAUAUCACGAAGAACCCCGAUUGCGAAGGCAGCUUACUAAACUGUGACUGACAUUGAUGCUCGAAAGUGUGGGUAUCAAACAGGAUUAGAUACCCCAGUAGUC
This 460-nucleotide ribosomal RNA is filed under the name uncultured bacterium. Its description in RNAcentral is "partial 16S ribosomal RNA". It matches the Rfam family "Bacterial small subunit ribosomal RNA", at positions 338 to 795 of the family's 1533-position model. The record is from RNAcentral.